Molecule: long non-coding RNA, 396 nt
Filed under: Homo sapiens (human)
Lineage: Eukaryota; Metazoa; Chordata; Mammalia; Primates; Hominidae
Description: non-protein coding lnc-PKN2-1:2
Source: RNAcentral
GGAAAUCAUUCAAUUUUUCACCAGAGAAUAAGUUGUGGCAGUGCUGGGCAGUUCAAAGGAGGCCUGGACUCAUCUCAGGCUUAUAGCAUGUUGUAUUAGGUAAUAAACCUGUAUCUGCAUAAGAGAUUACAGGGUUUAUGGGAUUGGUAUACCCACUCUGUAACCUGUCCCUCCUGGCCUCUCUCAAACAUGCUGAGCAUGUUCAUAUCUUAGGCCUAUACACCUGCUGUUCCUUUUGCUACUUAUGCUGUUUCUCCAGAUAUCCAGGCGACUUCCCCCCUUACUACUUUAGGUCUUCCCUGAACUGCCACCUCAUUGAUGCUAUUUCUGUUCCCCUGUGUCAAAUUGCUAUAUUCUAAAUUGACAGCUCUUUCGCUCCCUUAUCGCUGCUUCACU